Molecule: unclassified non-coding RNA, 2391 nt
Filed under: Leishmania donovani
Lineage: Eukaryota; Euglenozoa; Kinetoplastea; Trypanosomatida; Trypanosomatidae
Description: gene:LdHU3.25.0250(CDS-product:ubiquitin_carboxyl -inal_hydrolase_putative)
Source: RNAcentral
AAGCCUUUCAGUGUUUUCGCCUUUCACGAGGUGCCCUCCCGCUCACAACUUCCACCGUGACAGCGCCAUCUCGCCGUGGAUCCCACCGGCCCCCUUGUCGUCCACUUCCCAUUCGGUUGUUCGCCUCUCCGUUUUCUGCCGGUUGUCAUUUGUGUUGCCUCUACUUGUUUCCUGCCGUGGCCUCACUAUGUGGUUCCCACUGGAGAGCAAUCCGCAGGUGAUGAACCGCUACAUCAGCACCUUGGGUCUCACAGAAGCGAAGGUGCAGUUUGUAGACGUGUACGGUGUUUCGGACGAUCUACUUGAAAUGGUGCCUUCGCCGGUGCAUGCCGUGCUCCUCGUGUACCCCAUGUGCGAGGCCACGGAUAGACGCCUAGCGGAGCAGCAGGCUGCACAGACAGCGGAAGUUGCGGCGCUUCGCAAAUCACACCCUUUCUUCUUCACACACCAGCUCGUCCCGAACGCGUGCGGAACCAUCGCCAUCGCGCAUGCUCUUAUGAACAACCGCGAUAAGCUCGGUGAGAUCGCCGCCGGCAGCAUCCUCGACGGCCCGUGGGCGAAGGCGGCAGAAACGUCGGAAGAUCCCCAGAUCAUCGGAAAACUUAUUGCGGAAGACACGAGUCUCGCCAGCGCUCACGCCGCUGCUGCGCAGGAGGGCGCGACCGCCAACCAACACAUCGACGCGGACAUCGACCUUCACUUUGUCUGCUUCAUCCCCGUAGGCGGACGCUGCGUUGAGCUGGAUGGGCGAAAAGAGAACCCGAUCUUGCACGGUACCUGCACCGACAACAGGUCUUUCCUCACCGCUGCAGCCGCCGCGAUACAGGAACGCGUAGAGCUCAACCCCAGCUCCUACGAGUUUGGCAUCACCGCACUCGUGAACAAGUGAUAGGCCAGCCGCACAUUACCACCUUAUUGACCCUCUGUAUUCUCCUCAGUCUCGCGCUCCCCGCACGCCUUGAUGACGGCGGGCCGAUGAGGAGGGGGUGAGGUGGUGACCAGCUCAGCGCGUGGCUUCACCCGGCCCAAGUACCUCCACCAUCUCUGCGUGGGAGGAAGCCAAGCAAGCCGCCCCGCAUUUCUCCCUGCGAAGUGCGCAACCACCGGUGGUGGUGGCAGGGCCAAGCACACGCGACGUGGGGCGUGGAGGGCGAUGCAUGGCUGCUGAUGUCGGUGCGCCGGCCCGGGGUGACGCGGCGCCGGAGCGACCUGCGACAGUGAACACGUGUGCACCAUCCACAUGAUGGGCAGAGUGUCCGCGUGGCUGGAAGGCAUCCCACCCCCGGCCCUCGCGCAGCCUGCUGGUAUGCGGGUGUGGGUGGAGUUUGAGGCGUAGGCCGUGCUCUCGGAUGGCUUGGUCGGCGCGUUUGGCGUGGCGCGUGUGUGCUGCUGCACCGCACCAGGUAAUGUGGAGGGGGGGGAGGGGGGCUCUGACCGGCCGUGCGGGAUGGGGUGCAGUGUGGCGUUGUAGCUUGUGUCGCGCGGCCUCAUGCACUCGCUUGAAGAGAGGGGAAACGUUUUCGUGGUGCAUGCCCUCGUCUCCCUCAUGGAAGUUUGUCAGACGUGUCUUCGCGGGGGAGCGGUGCACCUGUAAAGGCAGUUUUUCGUAUCUGCAUGCGUGUGUGCUCUCUCUCUCUUUCCGCGUGGCUUUCAAGGCGGCCGUGUCGUUGGCCACGCCGCAAGGUUUCGCGCGCUGGUUCUGCUGUUUUUGUGCGUUGUAGUCAGCGCGCUUGUAGAGGACCGCUCAGGGGUGUUUGCCCCUCCCCCCGGAUGUGGAUAUCGGUGGAGAGUUUUCAGUGUGAAUCUUGCUGUGACCCCGUCUUUGGUGCUGGAUGCCUUUUCGGCUGCGCCGGCCUGAUGCUCUCGUGCUGGUGGUGUCCUGUUGGGGGAAGUUGGCAUGCGCUGCGGUGUUCAGAGCCGUACCGGGUGUUGCAGCGCUUUGUUGCAGGGGAAAGAGACGGCGAAAGCCGUGGCCCUCCCCGGUGCGGUUCGGCUUAGCCACCGGCAUGCAUGGGUGCAGAGGGGACAGCUUUCCCAAUCGACCGUUUUGGUUUACGUCGGCGAGUGAUAGACCAUUGGCCUGCUUAACUCGUAGCACUGCGAGUACAUGUGGAGGUCUUUCUGUCUGCCUCUAUGUGGGACUUAUUGAAGGCACUCCGCCAUGCCCUCCGUCCUCGCUUCUCACGUCUUUCUCCCUCUCUCCCUUCUCGAUGUCUUUCGGGGCUUCCACGGGUGCCGUUGCCGCCUUCGCGUCUCUUUCCUUAUGCUGUGCAAAGGUGAGCCUAGGAGUUCGUAAUAGUCUUGACUUUCUUGCCCCUCCCCCCCCCCCGCGUGACGCGCACUCUUUUUCUCACUCUCUCCAUGAGACGGCGUUCAUGCGAGAGCACCCAG